Molecule: ribosomal RNA, 1011 nt
Filed under: Triticum aestivum (bread wheat)
Lineage: Eukaryota; Viridiplantae; Streptophyta; Magnoliopsida; Poales; Poaceae
Description: partial small subunit ribosomal RNA
Source: RNAcentral
AUGGAUGCUGACCAAAGCUUCUUGGACACCCUUGGUUUUGGUUACACACAAACACAACCAGAAAGUCCAAUUGGAGAGCAGGCAACUCCAUCAACUCAGCAUCAAGCAACACCAUCAACGCAGCAACGUUCUGCAAUAAUAGAGAAAGGAAAAUCCAACAAAGGAAAAAAUUGGUCUAGUGAUGAGGACAAGGUUCUCAUAGCAGCAUGGGCAAAUACAAGUUUGGAUAUUGUUGGGACUGAUCAAAACCGAGAUGCUUAUUGGGCUAGAAUUUCAGAGUACUACAACACACACAAGGAGUCGUCAUGGCCGGAGCGUAAUCCUAAUGCAAUCAAUUGCCGUUACACAUUGAUUAACAGAGAGACCUCCAAAUUUUGUGGUUGCCUUCAGCAGAUUUUAAAUAAGGAAGAAAGUGGAAGGACUAUAGCAGAAAAGACAAACGAUGCACACAUUCUGUUCAAGGAAAUGGAUGUUAAGAAACGGCCUUUCACAUUGAUGCAUUGCUAUAUAGAGUUUGCAAAGUAUCCAAAAUGGCAGACAAGAGAACUUGAAACUUCUCUUAAGAAACAAAAGAAGACCAUUGAUGGAAGUCCAGGCACAACCACCAAUGAUCCGUCCGAUGCAUCCUCGGUACGCACUGAUGCAACCUCGAUACACACUGAUGCUCUUGAACAUGAGAAAAGACCUGAUGGUGUUAAGAAGGACAAGAGAGGUAAAGCUGAUGAGAAUGCUUGCAAGCUGUCAUUAGAAACUGUGUGGGCAGCAAAGCAAGAGAAGGAUGAGAUCAAAGAAGCGGCAAGAAAUGCUCGCUAUGCAUAGCAAUUUGAAUUGCGAAAAGAGGAGAUUGCACUCAGAAAGAAGGAGGAUGCACGAAACGAGAGGGAGGAUGCACGGAGACCGUUUGAAUUAGAUGAGAGGGUCAUGCUGAUCGACACUAGUGGUAUGACUGAUGUGCAAAAGCAGUUCUACCAAGCUAAGCAGAAUGAGAUCCUUGCUCGAGGCCUAGAGUAA